Molecule: ribosomal RNA, 644 nt
Filed under: uncultured bacterium
Lineage: Bacteria
Description: bacterial SSU rRNA
Rfam family: Bacterial small subunit ribosomal RNA
Source: RNAcentral
AGAGUUUGAUCCUGGCUCAGAGCGAACGCUGGCGGCAGGCCUAACACAUGCAAGUCGAGCGCCCAGCAAUGGGAGCGGCAGACGGGAUAGUAACACGUGGGAACGUACCUUUCAGUUCGGAACAACCAAGGGAAACUUUGGCUAAUACCGGAUACGCCCGUAAGGGGAAAGAUUUAUCGCUGAAAGAUCGGCCCGCGUCUGAUUAGCUAGUUGGUGGGGUAAUGGCCCACCAAGGCGACGAUCAGUAGCUGGUCUGAGAGGAUGAUCAGCAUCACUGGGACUGAGACACGGCCCAGACUCCUACGGGAGGCAGCAGUGGGGAAUAUUGGACAAUGGGCGCAAGCCUGAUCCAGCCAUGCCGCGUGGAUGAUGAAGGCCUUAGGGUUGUAAAGUCCUUUUAACGGGGAAGAUAAUGACGGUACCCGUAGAAUAAGCCCCGGCUAACUUCGUGCCAGCAGCCGCGGUAAUACGAAGGGGGCUAGCGUUGCUCGGAAUCACUGGGCGUAAAGCGCACGUAGGCGGCUUUCUAAGUCAGAGGUGAAAUCCUGGAGCUCAACUCCAGAACUGCCUUUGAUACUGGAAAGCUUGAGUUCGGGAGAGGUGAGUGGAACUGCGAGUGUAGAGGUGAAAUUCGUAGAUAUUCG